AUUGAGGGCCGGGCACAAUAAAGUCUUGAGGAGCCCCGAGAGGGCCGGGCACAGAGUACUUUUGUACUAUUGAUUGUAUAAUAAAGUCCUGAGGAGCUCAUUCGCGGGCCGGGCACUGAGGGAUUUUUGAUUCAGUCCGUUUGGUAUGUGAUUACUUGUGUUGUGAUGCAUUUCAUGUGAGCAUGUUUAUUAACAUGUUUUUAUUGUUCUACUCACUGGGCUAGUAUAGCUCACCCCUCUCCCUUAAACCCAGUCUUGCAGGAUCAGAGUACAGGGGGAGUCCAGCAGAGUACAGGAAGAGUAAAGAGUU
Molecule: long non-coding RNA, 310 nt
Filed under: Manihot esculenta (cassava)
Lineage: Eukaryota; Viridiplantae; Streptophyta; Magnoliopsida; Malpighiales; Euphorbiaceae
Description: long non-coding RNA (MESC_LNC000167)
Source: RNAcentral